Molecule: long non-coding RNA, 284 nt
Organism: Lagopus leucura (white-tailed ptarmigan)
Lineage: Eukaryota; Metazoa; Chordata; Aves; Galliformes; Phasianidae
Exons: 3
Source: RefSeq, a predicted model, not a curated record
AACUAUGCGGUGAGGUAGCCUUGGCUAACAAACUACAACCUACUGGCUCAUGCACUGCCACCAGUACUCCAAUUGGAUGGGAAAAUAAAAUAACAGCUUUUAAUGAACAUUUUUCUCUACUACAUUUUUCAUAUAAGAGGUUGUUUACAUCACAUCUAAACUGUCAUCCAGCUUUAUGAAAUUCUGUAUCCAGAAACUCACAACAAAUUCUAGGACUCCUUCGUGAAGGACACACAAAAGAGAUACCUUUCGAGAAAUAAGAAAUCAGUGGAAGCUGCAAAGGU